RNAcentral lists this transfer RNA (75 nucleotides) under Bacteriophage sp. Its description in RNAcentral is "tRNA-Arg". It matches the Rfam family "tRNA". Rfam says of the family: Transfer RNA (tRNA) molecules are approximately 80 nucleotides in length. The record is from RNAcentral.
CCACGGUUAGCUCAACUGGACUAGAGCGAGAGUUUCCUAAACUCUAGGUUAUAGGUUCGAUUCCUGUACCGUGGA